GUACGGGAGGCAGUGGGGAAUUUUGGACAAUGGGCGCAAGCCUGAUCCAGCCAUGCCGCGUGAGUGAAGAAGGCCUUCGGGUUGUAAAGCUCUUUCGGCGGGGAAGAAAUGGUUUCGGUUAAUACCCGGAGCUGAUGACGGUACCCGCAUAAGAAGCACCGGCUAACUACGUGCCAGCAGCCGCGGUAAUACGUAGGGUGCGAGCGUUAAUCGGAAUUACUGGGCGUAAAGCGUGCGCAGGCGGUUUUGUAAGUCAGAUGUGAAAUCCCCGGGCUCAACCUGGGAACUGCAUUUGAGACUGCAAGGCUAGAGUGUAGCAGAGGGGGGUAGAGUUCCACGUGUAGCAGUGAAAUGCGUAGAGAUGUGGUGGAAUACCGAUGGCGAAGGCAGCCCCCUGGGUUACUACUGACGCUCAUGCACGAAAGCGUGGGGAGCAAACAGGAUUAGAUACCCCCGUAGUCCG
Molecule: ribosomal RNA, 463 nt
Filed under: uncultured bacterium
Lineage: Bacteria
Description: bacterial SSU rRNA
Rfam family: Bacterial small subunit ribosomal RNA
Source: RNAcentral